GAUGAACGCUGGCGGCGUGCCUAAUACAUGCAAGUCGAGCGAACAGACGAGGAUCUUGCUCCUCUGACGUUAGCGGCGGACGGGUGAGUAACACGUGUAUACCCUACCUAUAAGACUGGGAUAACUUCGGGAAACCGGAUCUAAUACCGGAGAAUAUAUUGAACCGCAUGGUUCAAUAGAGAAAGACGGUUUUGCUGUCACUUAUAGAUGGUUCCGAGCUGCAUUAGCUAGUUGGUAAGGUAACGGCUUACCAAGGCGACGAUGCGUAGCCGACGUGAGAGGGUGAUCGGCCACACUGGAACUGAGACACGGUCCAGACUCCUACGGGAGGCAGCAGUAGGGAAUCUGCCGCAAUGGGCGAAAGCAUGACGGAGCGACGCCGCGUGAGUGAUGAAGGUCUUCGGAUCGUAAAGCUCUGUUAUUAGGGAAGAACAGAUGUGUAAGUAACUAUGCACGUCUUGACGGUACCUAAUCAGAAAGCAACGGCUAACUACGUG
Molecule: ribosomal RNA, 497 nt
Filed under: uncultured bacterium
Lineage: Bacteria
Description: partial 16S ribosomal RNA
Rfam family: Bacterial small subunit ribosomal RNA
Source: RNAcentral